GGUCAAGAGAGGUAAGGGCGCAUGGUGGAUGCCCAGGCACCUGGAGCCGAAGAAGGACGCGGCAAGCGGCGAAACGCCCCGGGGAGCCGCAAGCGGGCGUUGAUCCGGGGAUUUCCGAAUGGGGGAACCCGCUUGAGGUAAUACUCAAGCAUCCGCUGAUGAAUCCAUAGUCAGCGGAGGGGAACCGGGCGAACUGAAACAUCUAAGUAGCCCGAGGAAAAGAAAGCAAAAGCGAUUCCCUAAGUAGCGGCGAGCGAAAGGGGAGAAGCCCAAACCUACCGCUUAGGCGGUAGGGGUUCGGGCCCACCGAAAGGUGUGUGAGUACUCUAGGCGAACGGACCUGGAAAGGCCGGCCAAAGAGGGUGAAAGCCCCGUAGUCGAAAGGGGAAAGCGCACAGGUGGGUACCAGAGUACCACGGGAUAGCGACCCUGUGGGAAGGAGGGAGGACCACCUCCUAAGGCUAAAUACUCCAGGUGACCGAUAGCGCAUAGUACCGUGAGGGAAAGGUGAAAAGAACCCCGGGAGGGGAGUGAAAGAGAACCUGAAACCAUGUGCCCACAAGCAGUCAGAGCCUGGGUAAUACCAGGUGAUGGCGUACUUUUUGCAGAACGGGCCGGCGAGUUAUGGUAGCGAGCGAGGUUAAGGGUAGAGAUACCCGGAGCCGAAGCGAAAGCGAGUCCGAAGAGGGCGGGAAGUUCGCUGCCAUAGACCCGAAACCGUGCGACCUACCCAUGGCCAGGGUGAAGCCGGAGUAAGAUCUGGUGGAGGCCCGAACCCGUUGGCCGUGAAAAGCCAUGGGAUGAGCUGUGGGUAGAGGUGAAAUGCCAAUCGAGCACGGAGAUAGCUGGUUCUCCCCGAAAUAGCUUUAGGGCUAGCCUCAGGGUAAAGCCUGUGGAGGUAGAGCGACUGACUGGGCUAGGGGCCGAGAGGCUACCGAACCCUAUCAAACUCCGAAUGCCACAGGUGGGUCCCUGGGAGUCAGACCACGAGUGAUAAGAUCCGUGGUCGAGAGGGGAACAGCCCAGACCUCCAGCUAAGGUCCCGAAGGGCAUGUUAAGUGGGAAAGGAAGUGGGACUUCGAAGACAACCGGGAUGUUGGCUUAGAAGCAGCCAUACAUUUAAAGAGUGCGUAACAGCUCACCGGUCGAGAGGUCCUGCGCCGAAAAUGAACGGGGCUCAAACAUGCCACCGAAGCUGGGG
This 1201-nucleotide ribosomal RNA is filed under the name Caldanaerobacter subterraneus subsp. yonseiensis KB-1. RNAcentral describes it as "bacterial LSU rRNA". It matches the Rfam family "Bacterial large subunit ribosomal RNA", at positions 1 to 1205 of the family's 2925-position model. The record is from RNAcentral. Lineage: Bacteria; Bacillati; Bacillota; Clostridia; Thermoanaerobacterales; Thermoanaerobacteraceae.